This 114-nucleotide ribosomal RNA is filed under the name Streptococcus dysgalactiae. Lineage: Bacteria; Bacillati; Bacillota; Bacilli; Lactobacillales; Streptococcaceae. RNAcentral also lists the same sequence under 5 other names. The record is from RNAcentral.
AGUGACGAUAGCCUAGGAGAUACACCUGUACCCAUGCCGAACACAGUAGUUAAGCCCUAGAACGCCUGAAGUAGUUGGGGGUUGCCCCCUGUUAGAUACGGUAGUCGCUUAGCG